This 346-nucleotide ribosomal RNA is filed under the name Cylindrolaimus communis. Its description in RNAcentral is "SSU rRNA". It matches the Rfam family "Eukaryotic small subunit ribosomal RNA", at positions 594 to 945 of the family's 1831-position model. The record is from RNAcentral. Lineage: Eukaryota; Metazoa; Nematoda; Chromadorea; Araeolaimida; Diplopeltidae.
GAAGUGUAUAUCAUUGUUGUUGCGGUUAAAAAGCUCGUAGUUGGAUCUGCGCCUUAGAGUUCGGUCCUCCCAAUGGGAGUGUACUGAUACUCGGGGCUAACUAGCUGGUUUUCUCCUGGUGCUCUUGAUUGAGUGCCUUGAGUGACUAGCAGGUUUACUUUGAAAAAAUUAGAGUGCUCAAAACAGGCGUUCGCCUGAAUACUGGUGCAUGGAAUAAUGGAAUAGGACCUUGGUUCUAUUUUGUUGGUUUUCGGAACACGAGGUAAUGAUUAAGAGGGACAGACGGGGGCAUUCGUAUUGCAGCGUUAGAGGUGAAAUUCUUGGACCGCUGCAAGACGAACAACUG